Molecule: ribosomal RNA, 479 nt
Filed under: gamma proteobacterium GA-07
Lineage: Bacteria; Pseudomonadati; Pseudomonadota; Gammaproteobacteria
Description: bacterial SSU rRNA
Rfam family: Bacterial small subunit ribosomal RNA
Source: RNAcentral
GAGCUCAGAUUGAACGCUGGCGGCAGGCCUAACACAUGCAAGUCGAGCGGUAACAGAAAGUAGCUUGCUACUUUGCUGACGAGCGGCGGACGGGUGAGUAAUGCUUGGGAACAUGCCUUGAGGUGGGGGACAACAGUUGGAAACGACUGCUAAUACCGCAUAAUGUCUACGGACCAAAGGGGGCUUCGGCUCUCGCCUUUAGAUUGGCCCAAGUGGGAUUAGCUAGUUGGUGAGGUAAUGGCUCACCAAGGCGACGAUCCCUAGCUGGUUUGAGAGGAUGAUCAGCCACACUGGGACUGAGACACGGCCCAGACUCCUACGGGAGGCAGCAGUGGGGAAUAUUGCACAAUGGGCGCAAGCCUGAUGCAGCCAUGCCGCGUGUGUGAAGAAGGCCUUCGGGUUGUAAAGCACUUUCAGUCAGGAGGAAAGCGUGGUGGUUAAUACCCAUCAUGUGUGACGUUACUGACAGAAGAAGCACC